This 134-nucleotide transfer RNA is filed under the name Nitrospirota bacterium. Its description in RNAcentral is "Nitrospirae bacterium (groundwater metagenome) tRNA-OTHER". The record is from RNAcentral. Lineage: Bacteria; Pseudomonadati; Nitrospirota.
GGCGGUUGGUAAUUAGCGGAGGAUACGAUCGAAGUGCCCAUUCCUCUGUGCUAAAAUUGUGCUAAAAUUCUCCGAAACGGAUAGAAUUGACAAGAAUCUCUUGGCCGGGGGUUCAAAUCCCUCCGCCGCUACCA